This 66-nucleotide transfer RNA is filed under the name Ctenochauliodes nigrovenosus. RNAcentral describes it as "tRNA-Phe". The record is from RNAcentral. Lineage: Eukaryota; Metazoa; Arthropoda; Insecta; Megaloptera; Corydalidae.
AUUUAAAUAGCUUAUAUAUUAGAGUAUAACAUUGAAGCUGUUAAGGAGAUAAUUUAUCUUUAAAUA